UACGUAGGGGGCUAGCGUUGUCCGGAAUCAUUGGGCGUAAAGCGCGUGUAGGCGGUCCGGUAAGUCCGCUGUGAAAGUCGGGGGCUCAACCCUCGGAUGCCGGUGGAUACUGUCGGGCUUGAGUACGGAAGAGGCGAGUGGAAUUCCUGGUGUAGCGGUGAAAUGCGCAGAUAUCAGGAGGAACACCUAUUGCGAAGGCAGCUCGCUGGGACGGUACUGACGCUGAGGCGCGAAAGCGUGGGGAGCGAACAGG
RNAcentral lists this ribosomal RNA (253 nucleotides) under uncultured bacterium. RNAcentral describes it as "partial 16S ribosomal RNA". It matches the Rfam family "Bacterial small subunit ribosomal RNA", at positions 524 to 776 of the family's 1533-position model. The record is from RNAcentral.